Armigeres subalbatus is the source of this 2928-nucleotide long non-coding RNA. RefSeq lists it as uncharacterized. NCBI's taxonomy places the organism in Eukaryota, Metazoa, Arthropoda, Insecta, Diptera, Culicidae. The record is from RefSeq and is a predicted model, not a curated record. The transcript is spliced from 5 exons.
CUGGCAGCCCAUGUCGAUCUGUCAAAUGAAAGAAAAUGAGAAAAGCGAGAAAAGUGAAAAAAUGUUUACUCAAUCACAAUCAGAUUGGUUUGGAUCGAAGGAAUUCGCGAAAAAUGUUGGAUUUAGGCUGAUUCAGGCAUACGAAUUCGGAGUAACGAGUCUUGCUGCUAGAAGAUCGCAGCUUCGCACUACAAUUCCGGUCUGGCAGGAUCUGAAGGGGCAUAUGCAGAAGCUCCGGCAUAUUUGCUUCGCCGACAUGUAUAAAAAGAUGGAGCCGGCGUAGUAGAACAGCGGUAGAGCUCCUGCGCGAAGAAAAAAUGUACAAUUACCUCAAAAGGAACCGAGAAUAUUGAGACCGGACGACUACGAUGACGGAAAAUAGAAUACAAGUGACAAAAAGUCGGAGGAAAAGCAUGCAAAUAAGCUUUACGGCAAUACGGAAGAGGACCUUUGCCAGCAACAGGCGUUCCUUCGCGUUCCGGAAGUCGUGUUUUAGUGCUCGUGAGGCGCGUUAGCAGGCUUAGAAUACUCGUCUAUACUCGUUUUUGUUCGCGGGUUGGAAGAAGUUUUUGGUGAAAAAUUGAGGACACUUUCGCUGUGUUUCAGCAUCUUUUUACGGACUGUUUCGGUUUAAUGUUUGUGUGACGCUCCGGCGGUUAAAAUUUUCCGAUUUUCGGGGGUGAAGUUAAUGUUUCGGUCCGGGAAUAUUUCACGAGUGUUGAGGGGAGAAAAAAUUGGUUGCUUGACGAACGGGGAAGUGAAGUGCUUUCUGCGGUGGCGGAUGCUCUCUUUGUCGCCGAAACCCGUUUUAUUUGGUGGAAUUACUGCUAGUGAAAAGGUGCCCACCAGAAGAUAUCCAGAUAAGCAGUUUGGUUUGUGUCAGUUGACCUUUGUGGCUCCAAAUUUUCUGGUGACUGGUUGAGUUUUCUUUUCACUUUGUAUUGCUGGAAAGUUCGCAAUUUGAGUUGAGGAAAAUUCCUCCGAGGACGAAGAAUAAGGAAGAAAAGAGUGCAAAGAAAAAAGAAGAAAAAGUGCCCGUCGAGACGCCUCUUCUCUGGCUCAGUCCAGAAGAAUAACAACAGCAAGUCGAUUUGUGUUACGGAAGAAAAAGCGCCCUCCUUCAAUGAAGAAGACCUCCCCAACAACAAAUUUUACAUUCAGUCGGAUUACCAACCAGAGUGCGUCUUUUGCAAAAAAAAAAUCUUGUUUUUCUGUUGUGUUUUGAUUUGGAACACCAAGAACGGAAAGGAGGACCAAAAUUUAUUCCUCUUGGAAGCGAAGCGAACUGUUUUGAUACUUUUGGAGGAAACGUACGGACUAAAUUUGCCAUCCAUUGACUCCCAGCGGCCGGAACGAAAUCCACCAAAGUCAACCGUGUCAGAUCAGCGGAUGAAAUUACAACGAAAUCACGGUAUGAACAAAAAUGUUGAAGAAAAGUGGCACACGUCUUCGAAAGCGAAAGCUUUCAGUUCGCGAUAAGCGAUUUGAAAUUAAUAGAAUUCCAUGUUUGCAUGAAGUUUAGUUAUAUAGCUAAUUGAUUAGAGAUGCACAUACGCAGGGGUUCUAUUUUAACUUUGGAAUCACGAAACUUGGUGUUUGUUGAAAGAUUAGUUGGUUGAUAACAUCCCAUGUUUGGAAAUUUUGCCCCAACUCCAAGCAUUUUCAAUUUCGUGAGGCGCGUUUGCAGGCUUAGAAUACUCGUCUAGAUGCCGCAUAUAGCCGACAAGAAGGUCAUCGAGAAGAAAAUCAUCAAGCGGACGCGUUUCAGAUUCACCCGUACGUUUGCGUAUGUUGUGUGGGUGCCCUCUAACACUCACUCCUGAUCCUGUACAUUUCGGACGCUUUGAGCAAAGAAGUUCAUGCAUCGAAAAAACAAUUUCCGAUUAAGUCGAAAGGUGGAAAUGAAGGUCUCUACUGACUAUGAGAAUGCCAUCGAACCAUCACAGUGAAGAACAUCCUGUCGUUUGCCUGGCAGAUCAGCAAGGAAAUGGCAUAUCUAACACCACGAUCUGGUCGUUGAGAAUGUGCUUCUCGCUGAGGAUAUCGUGUGCAAGAUAUACAACUUUAGAUUUACCCGAGACCUGUAGUACGAGGUUAAUGCCCACCUUUAGGAGAAUAAAGGUCGUGUACCGGUGAAACGAAUGAUGAUAACGCUAGCGGACCGCAUCUACAAUACGAAAAGCGAUGGCUGGACAGUCGAAGUCGUGUGCUGUCUGCUGGAAAUCGAUCACCUGUGAGUGAGGGUACCGAAUGGAAUAUCCGAAACAUUGUUCGGAAGAAAUACUCAGUAUAGUUCGUUUCUGUUGAUCGGAUGAACUCCAACUGCGAUUGUCACUCAAAUAUUUGGUUGACUGAUGUGGUGCACUGCAGCAGUUGUGAUACUUCCGGUCGCCCAUAACCACUUGUACGCUGCUGAGGAAUGCAAAACGAGCAGCUGCAUCCGCUGGCAAUAAUGGUUCCUUUGGGGCAAACGAGACCGGUAAAUGCACUUCAUCAUUUGCAGCUAUAUUAAAUAUAUAUUAUAUCAAAUAAAAUAUUGAGAUUUCAAUAAAUUUGUAAACAUUUAAUAGCGUACUGAAAUUGAAAGCACACAACACUUGUUGUUUUGAAAGUAUCAUAAUCAAUUCUAGUGUAAAAAACACAUUUAGUUUUGACAGGAAAUUUUCCUUUUGACAAGUUAAAUACACAUUUAGUUUCAAGAGGAAAAAGUUAUUUUGACAAGUCAUCUCUAUCCAGAGCUUAUACCGAAGUGACAUUUUUGUAAUUGUGAAUUUAACAAUCGUAUACUUUCUACAGCAGCCGUUCGAUAACUGCAAAAUGUUUACUUUUCAGUUAACGAAUGCCGUUCGAUAACUGCAACGCAUUCUAGACGUCAAACGGUUGUCAAUCGACGUCAGAUGCAAUAAAAGUGCAUCUAAAUGUGCAGCG